This 418-nucleotide ribosomal RNA is filed under the name uncultured bacterium. RNAcentral's name for it is "bacterial SSU rRNA". It matches the Rfam family "Bacterial small subunit ribosomal RNA", at positions 358 to 773 of the family's 1533-position model. The record is from RNAcentral.
GGAAUAUUGGUCAAUGGACGCAAGUCUGAACCAGCCAUGCCGCGUGAAGGAUGACGGCCCUCUGGGUUGUAAACUUCUUUUACAGGGGGAGAAAAUCGGGGAUUAUUCGUCGACUGACGGUACCCUGUGAAUAAGCACCGGCUAACUCCGUGCCAGCAGCCGCGGUAAUACGGAGGGUGCAAGCGUUAUCCGGAUUUACUGGGUUUAAAGGGAGCGCAGGCGGAUUGGUAAGUCAGUGGUGAAAGCCUCAAGCUUAACUUGGGAAUUGCCGUUGAUACUAUCAGUCUUGAAUGUUGUUGAGGUGUGCGGAAUGGGUCAUGUAGCGGUGAAAUGCAUAGAUAUGACCCGGAACACCUAUUGCGAAGGCAGCAGGCUAAACAAAUAUUGACGCUGAGGCUCGAAAGCGUGGGGAUCAAAC